This 273-nucleotide ribosomal RNA is filed under the name uncultured bacterium. Its description in RNAcentral is "partial 16S ribosomal RNA". It matches the Rfam family "Bacterial small subunit ribosomal RNA", at positions 524 to 796 of the family's 1533-position model. The record is from RNAcentral.
UACGUAGGGACCAAGCGUUGUCCGGAAUUAUUGGGCGUAAAGAGCUCGUAGGCGGCCGUUCGCGUCGGAUGUGAAAGCUCAGGGCUCAACCCUGAGAGGCCAUUCGAUACGGGACGGCUAGAGGUAGGUAGGGGAGAUCGGAAUUCCUGGUGUAGCGGUGAAAUGCGCAGAUAUCAGGAGGAACACCGGUGGCGAAGGCGGAUCUCUGGGCCUUACCUGACGCUGAGGAGCGAAAGCUGGGGGAGCAAACAGGAUUAGAAACCCGCGUAGUCC